This 394-nucleotide ribosomal RNA is filed under the name uncultured bacterium. Its description in RNAcentral is "partial 16S ribosomal RNA". It matches the Rfam family "Bacterial small subunit ribosomal RNA", at positions 338 to 729 of the family's 1533-position model. The record is from RNAcentral.
CCUACGGGAGGCAGCAGUGAGGAAUAUUGGUCAAUGGGCGGAAGCCUGAACCAGCCAAGUAGCGUGCAGGAUGACGGCCCUACGGGUUGUAAACUGCUUUUAUACGGGAAUAACGCGCCUUACGUGUACGGCUUUGCAUGUACUUUAUGAAUAAGGACCGGCUAAUUCCGUGCCAGCAGCCGCGGUAAUACGGAGGGUCCAGGCGUUAUCCGGAUUUAUUGGGUUUAAAGGGUGCGUAGGCGGCAUGAUAAGCUAGAUGUGAAAUGUCCGGGCUAAACCCGGGCAUUGCCGCUAGAACUGGUGUGCUUGAGACCGCGUACAGCAGGCGGAAUUCGUGGUGUAGCGGUGAAAUGCUUAGAGAUGAUGAAGAACCCCGAUUGCGAAGGCAGCUUGC